Molecule: long non-coding RNA, 547 nt
Filed under: Felis catus (domestic cat)
Lineage: Eukaryota; Metazoa; Chordata; Mammalia; Carnivora; Felidae
Description: lncRNA (ENSFCAG00000048069.1)
Source: RNAcentral
GCUCCUUGAGCACUUGGUCUUACUUCAACCUCAUUUUGAUUAAUCUCUCAGGAUACUCUUAAUUGUUCAUGUGUUUCAGCCAGUAAAAAGACUAGAGCUUGGGAAAACAAGGUUGGAAGCUAAUGACAGUUACUGCUUUGUGCCAAAAUUUCAUGUGUUAAAUGCAUAAGAAAAAAAAAAGUAACUUCAAAUCAAGAUUACUUUGCUGAACUACAACUAUUCUGUUUUUCAUAGACCUUGCAAUCUGGAAGCAAGUUCAAGAACUGAAUGCACAAAAACUCUGACCUGUGAAACAGAAGCAGUGUCUUUCUGACUUCUGGUAAGGACUCUAUACCAUGGCUCAGGGAUUCUAGAUUGGGGCUGCUGUGGGCUAACAGGUCCCCUUCCAGCUCUACACUAUGCCGAGAGGCAUUCUGGGCUGCCCCUACGUUGACUCCAGGUUAAGCAGGUGAGACCAGGUGAGGUUGCCUCCUUCAUUUCUGCACAUUUGCCAUCAGCACUGAAGAGCCAUAGUUAGAGAAGUUUGUUAAUGAUACAGAGAAAAGAG